RNAcentral lists this ribosomal RNA (475 nucleotides) under uncultured organism. RNAcentral's name for it is "partial 16S ribosomal RNA". It matches the Rfam family "Bacterial small subunit ribosomal RNA", at positions 329 to 796 of the family's 1533-position model. The record is from RNAcentral.
ACGUACACUCCUACGGGAGGCAGCAGUGGGGAAUAUUGCACAAUGGGCGCAAGCCUGAUGCAGCCAUGCCGCGUGUGUGAAGAAGGCCUUCGGGUUGUAAAGCACUUUCAGCGGGGAGGAAGGCGAUACGGUUAAUAACCGUGUUGAUUGACGUUACCCGCAGAAGAAGCACCGGCUAACUCCGUGCCAGCAGCCGCGGUAAUACGGAGGGUGCAAGCGUUAAUCGGAAUUACUGGGCGUAAAGCGCACGCAGGCGGUCUGUCAAGUCGGAUGUGAAAUCCCCGGGCUCAACCUGGGAACUGCAUUCGAAACUAGCAGGCUUGAGUCUUGUAGAGGGGGGUAGAAUUCCAGGUGUAGCGGUGAAAUGCGUAGAGAUCUGGAGGAAUACCGGUGGCGAAGGCGGCCCCCUGGACAAAGACUGACGCUCAGGUGCGAAAGCGUGGGGAGCAAACAGGAUUAGAAACCCUGGUAGUCC